Molecule: ribosomal RNA, 490 nt
Filed under: uncultured bacterium
Lineage: Bacteria
Description: partial 16S ribosomal RNA
Rfam family: Bacterial small subunit ribosomal RNA
Source: RNAcentral
AUUGAACGCUGGCGGCAGGCCUAACACAUGCAAGUCGAACGGUAACAGGAAACAGCUUGCUGUUUCGCUGACGAGUGGCGGACGGGUGAGUAAUGUCUGGGAAACUGCCUGAUGGAGGGGGAUAACUACUGGAAACGGUAGCUAAUACCGCAUAACGUCGCAAGACCAAAGAGGGGGACCCUCGGGCCUCUUGCCAUCGGAUGUGCCCAGAUGGGAUUAGCUUGUUGGUGGGGUAACGGCUCACCAAGGCGACGAUCCCUAGCUGGUCUGAGAGGAUGACCAGCCACACUGGAACUGAGACAAGGUCCAGACUCCUACGGGAGGCAGCAGUGGGGAAUAUUGCACAAUGGGCGCAAGCCUGAUGCAGCCAUGCCGCGUGUAUGAAGAAGGCCUUCGGGUUGUAAAGUACUUUCAGCGGGGAGGAAGGGAGUAAAGUUAAUACCUUUGCUCAUUGACGUUACCCGCAGAAGAAGCACCGGCUAACUCCGUG